GUGGGUGAGCUGCCCGCUGCUUUGCAAGCAGGAGGUCGCCGGUUCGAUCCCGGCUGGCUCCA
This 62-nucleotide transfer RNA is filed under the name Actinomycetota bacterium. RNAcentral describes it as "tRNA-Ala". The record is from RNAcentral. Lineage: Bacteria; Bacillati; Actinomycetota.